This 714-nucleotide long non-coding RNA is filed under the name Vigna radiata. RNAcentral's name for it is "long non-coding RNA (VRAD_LNC015538)". The record is from RNAcentral. Lineage: Eukaryota; Viridiplantae; Streptophyta; Magnoliopsida; Fabales; Fabaceae.
GGGGGAAUUCCUUGGUUAUGCUAAUACCGCCUAGGGAUAGGGGUAGGACGAUCAAUUGUAUUUUGCUUCCGUUCGUUAUGCAUUAUUAAUUACUAGGGGAGGCUAGGGAUAGCAAAUCGGUAAUUAGUAAUAGGCUUUUUUCGCCAAGGGAUUGGGUUAAGGGUAAACCAAGAAAGUUUGCAUGCCAAUAUGAUAAAAAAGCGAAUUAAAUAAGUAGAGUAGAUAUAUGAGGGUGGAUAAGAUGAAAUUGUAAACCCCAACAACACCAUUCAUCCAUAGUUUUUCCUCAACCAUUGAUUCACUACAUAUGCAUGUUUACUUUUGUUAUUUUUGCAUUUAAAAACUUAAAAUCAAUUUCUUCUCAAGUCUUACGCGAUUAGGUUACACGAAAGUUAAGGCAUAAGAGUACUUUGGGAAACGAUACUUGGACUUACCCAUUUUAUAUUACUUGAUAACGAUCUGGUAAACUUGUUAGGGACUUAACAAGUGUUUGGCGUCGUUCCCGGGGACUCGUGGUUUAACUUAUCUAGUAGUGUAACUUGAUUAAAUUCGACUUGAUUGUAUAUAUUGUGUUUUUGUUUUUUGUUUUUGUUGUUAUUUUUAUUUUUUUAUAAAAGUUCUACUACGGUUUUUGUUUCUUAUGCAUGCAACAGGAGAGUAGACAUACUAGGAGCACAAAAAAUACGCAACCUCUUCUUGAAGGCUUAAGUGAGA